This 468-nucleotide ribosomal RNA is filed under the name uncultured bacterium. RNAcentral's name for it is "partial 16S ribosomal RNA". It matches the Rfam family "Bacterial small subunit ribosomal RNA", at positions 28 to 507 of the family's 1533-position model. The record is from RNAcentral.
GACGAACGCUGGCGGCGUGCUUAACACAUGCAAGUCGAACGGGAAGGCCCUGCUUUUGUGGGGUGCUCGAGUGGCGAACGGGUGAGUAACACGUGAGUAACCUGCCCUUGACUUUGGGAUAACUUCGGGAAACUGGGGCUAAUACCGGAUAGGAGCUCCUGCUGCAUGGUGGGGGUUGGAAAGUUUCGGCGGUUGGGGAUGGACUCGCGGCUUAUCAGCUUGUUGGUGGGGUAGUGGCUUACCAAGGCUUUGACGGGUAGCCGGCCUGAGAGGGUGACCGGCCACAUUGGGACUGAGAUACGGCCCAGACUCCUACGGGAGGCAGCAGUGGGGAAUAUUGCACAAUGGGCGGAAGCCUGAUGCAGCAACGCCGCGUGCGGGAUGACGGCCUUCGGGUUGUAAACCGCUUUCGCCUGUGACGAAGCGUGAGUGACGGUAAUGGGUAAAGAAGCACCGGCUAACUACGUG